CGUUCUUCUCACCGGCGGUCCUGUAAAUCCUGGUUCUCCCGGGCUUCCAACGUCCCCUUUGCGUCCUUGUGCUCCUGGAAACCCACGAUCCCCCUACAAACAGAGCAGUUACAUCACAAAGGUAGGCCGGGAUAGCCUUCUCCCUUCAGCCCUGGUGGUCCAAUGGGUCCUCGUAACCCCAUUUCACCCUAAAGACAGACAAAAUGGAUUAUCUUAGUCACAAAAGCACAGUGUAGCUUUCUGCUGGGACGUCACUCUUACCUUCGGCCCUGCAAUGCCUAUCCCUGGUUCUCCAGCAAGUCCUGGUGGACCAACUGGCCCUGGAUCUCCCUACAGCAAGAUGAACAUGGUCAUGUCUAACAGUUUAGUUGAAACUACAACCUACUUUUGGUCCUGGUUCUCCAAUUCCUCUUUCUCCAGUGGCUCCAGGAUCUCCAGGGUAUCCCUGUUCUCCCUGAGAGCAAACAAAACGAAAACACACUGUUUAGAUAUCAUUCAAAAGUUAGCGAUUGGUAAUAUUUUUUGUUGUUGUUGUUUUUGACAGAAGUCUCUUCUGCUCACCAACGCUGCAUUUAUUUGAUCAAAAAUACAGUAAAAACAGUAAUAAUGUGAAAUAUUAUUAAAAUUUCAAAUAACGGUUUUCUAUUUGAAUAUAUUUUAACAUGUAAUUUAUUAAUACUCCAGUCUUCAGUGUCACAUGAUCUUUCAGAAAUCAUUCUAAUAUGCUGAUUUGCUGCUCAAGAAAUAUUUCUAGUUAUUAUCAAUGUUAAAAACAGUUGUGCUGCUUCAUAUUUUUUUUUGUAAAAAUCAUGAUACAUUUUUUUUUUAGGAUUCUUCAAAGAAUCAAAAGAACAGUAUUUAUUUGAAAUAGAUUUUUUUUUUUUUUUUGUAACAAUGUAAAUGUCUUUACUCUCACUUUUUACCAAUUUAAUGCAUCCUUGCUGAAUAAAA
This is a long non-coding RNA of Ctenopharyngodon idella (grass carp), 951 nucleotides long. RefSeq lists it as uncharacterized. Lineage: Eukaryota; Metazoa; Chordata; Actinopteri; Cypriniformes; Xenocyprididae. The record is from RefSeq and is a predicted model, not a curated record. The transcript is spliced from 3 exons.